Molecule: long non-coding RNA, 32759 nt
Filed under: Gallus gallus (chicken)
Lineage: Eukaryota; Metazoa; Chordata; Aves; Galliformes; Phasianidae
Source: RNAcentral
UUUUAGGGUCCUGUUGGUUUCUUAAAUCUCUCACAAAUGAAUAAAACGUGCUGCUGCUUCAACCUAUGGGUUACAUUUGUAGGAGAAUAUUUAGACGGUAAGGAUGAGUAUUAGCUUUCUGGAUUCUUGUCUGAAUUUCUGGUAGUCUUAAGUGUGGUGUGGGUGGCUGAAUCAGUAGGUGCAGCAGUUCGUAAAAGGAGUGAAAGAACUUUUUGAAAGUCUUAAAUUCAACUCUUGAUGAGGAUGACAUACUCCCAGAAGCUGAUUAAAUUGUCAGUGAUUCAUGUGAUGACUUAAAGCUCUUUGUGUUUUACAGUAACUUUGCUAAGGAAAUUCAGUGUCAUAAAAUUUCCUUUUUCUUUCUUCUUCUUUUUUUUUUUGGGGGGGGGGGGGGUGUAGAAUUUUUAGUUUAGAAAAGAUUAAAAACUUUCAACAAGCUUUCCCCAUUGGAGAAUGACACAAAGGCAAUUUUUUGAGAAGCCUGAUGUUAUCACACUGUUUAUAGAUGUCUUUCUGUCUCUCCCCUUAUCCUCAAGUAGCUUCUCUAUUUGUUUUUCCAAAUACAUUUUUGGAGGGCUAAAAGAUACAGAAAAAAAAUCAUGAAAAAGGAGAAAAAAAAAGAUAGCUUUGUAUAAAAGGGAGUGUCAAAAGCACAAUUCCAUCUCAAAGGCAGUUAAAAUUUUGCCUUUUCUGUCUUCUCAGCGGUAGUGGUCCUCUUGUGAGCAGCGUAUAGAUGGUUCCAGAUGACCUGUCAAGGUUUAUGCUGUCACUUGGCGAGCCUUACGUCGGUGGAUGGGGGGAAGAGGUAGAGAAGGAAAAUGACUUGGCAUAUGAGAGAUGUGACUGAGAAGGGAAGAACGAGGAACCGUAGAACAGAAAUCUGUAGCAAACCAUGCUGCGUUAGUUCUUCUAUUUGUAAAAAUGCUUUUUGGGGGUUAUAUGAAGAUUGGGCAGGAGCUGCUAGAGGCCAUGCAGUCCAUUUCUCGAAAUGCUGGGGAUCAUUGAGUACAAUGAUUUGUGAUGGAGGUUUGUCUUCAGUGCCUUCUGUGACAAACAGCCCAUUAACUCUGCAGGCAAUCUACUCUCAUGUUUCUAUAGCAUCAGCUUUGGAGCUUUUCCUAAUAUUGAAACAAAAUCUUUCCUACUGGAAUUCGAGCUUCUUACUGCUUAGCCCGUCCAUUUGUAAUAUGGAGAGCUCUUUUUAGGCAUGUAGAAAGCUGAUUCAAACUCUUGUUGUGUCCCCUCUGUCUUGUCUUCAGAAAUAAUCUUUGCGUUUACCUCGGUAGGAGCUUUACUGACUUUUCUUCUGAGGAGGUUCUUAUCAAACCUUUUGUUUGAAUGAAAAGUAUUUUUUUCUGACUCGCUUGCAGGAAGAUGAUUUUUUCUUUUGUAAUGGUUGAGAAAAAUAUUAUAAUUACUUAUGAUUUGUUGAGAUUGAACAUUUUAGUAUUUCUGUGCAACUGAAUCUUACUGACUGGUACUAGAUGUAUGAGUUAAAGAGCACAAUAAAGUCUUUAAACACUACUAAUAUACGAGGGCUGCUCCGAAACGAAUGCCUCCUACAUUAUGUUAGCCCAUGAUGUCAGAGGUGGAUCUUGGUGAAUACAGCAGCAGAGGUUGAACAUUCCCACCAUUAUCCCGCUACAUGUUAUUACUGUGUGACAGAUGGCAGCGGAGGGGCAGUCUGACAGAAUGGUGUCAGACACGUAAGUGUGGAUGAAGAAAAUGGGAGGAAUUGAAUUCCUCCAUACGGAAAAAGUGGCACCCAUUGACAUUCAUCGACACUUGCUGAAUGUUUAUGGAGAUGAAACACUGGAUGUGAGCACAGUAAGGUGGUGGGUGGUGCAUCUCAGCAGUGGUGACAGUGGCAGUGGGUCACCUGUACUUGAGUACUUAAAUGUACAGGACAUGAUACAUGGCCAAUUUAUAGUUCCGAGUUCACCUGAAAAAUGCAGUUGCCAGAUGAGAUACUGGAUGUUUCAUGCUGCUUUAGCAUUUUUUAUAUGUAAUAAUAGUAACUCAGUCUAUGACCUAGUAACUUUGUUUCUGAUGUGUCAUGGACAGAAUGUGAAGUUCUGUCCAGAAAGCUCUCCUUUAUCCACUCUUCAAAGCUUGCCUUUUUUUAAUGCAAAGCACAGGCUGAAAAUCUGGGGGAAUAAUAAUAAUAAUAAUAAAAGGCUAUAACAGCUGCAUACUUACCACAGGGCCUUUCAAACACUGGUGGCUUCAAGGGCAAGGUCUCAGCUAAUUCAGUGCUGCAGUUUUCAGUUGACUUCUGUGUUUCUGACAUCAGCAUUGUGAACUGCCAGAGUGACUCGUGACAUGAUCUUUGUUACACCUCUAUGAUACCAUGUUUGAGAUGGAGUGUCAUAGAAGAUUGUGGUUAAUGGAUAAGGGACUCAGAGGUCUGGUAAAAAAAUGUCUAUAAUCAGCACUCUCUGUUAUUUGUUUUUGUGUUGUUGAUGUUCAUACAGUGCCAAAGUGCUUAUUAAAAAGAGUACAAAAUAAGUAAAGGCAGAAUCUUGGCUGUGAAGGGCCUUAAAGUAAGAUGCAAACAGUUGGAAGAGGCAAGGAGGUUUAAUAAGGGAGAAUGAAACAUGAAGCAUGCUGUGGUUUUGGAGGAUACGUAUAUUCCUUUAUGGUUUUAGUGUAGCCAGCCCUAGCUGACAUGCACGGCUAUACAGUCUGGAAUGUGUUAAACAUCUCUAAAGGGAUUUAGAGGGCAAGUUAGGUUUAGUUGUUGGUGCAGUGUUACCUGUACUGGUGAGUUAAUAGCACAAUCGUGUAAACAUUCAGCACAUUACAGCGAGGGAUUAGUUAUUUUAAAUACAAUAUGAGAGUGAAUUCAUGCCCAUGCUGAGCUGCUUUAAAUAUUUACUCUGUUUAUCAAAUUUCCAAGCAUAAUCAAAGUAUUAAGAGAUACUCAAAUGGAGGUUCCUGGCAUGCACAGAUAUUAGAGUGUUUUCUUGAGUCUUCUAGUAUUUCCUAUAUUCCAAACCAUCUGUCCUUUUAUGAAAAAACUCUAAGUCUUAAAAUUGCUAAUUAUUGUAACUAAUGCUUAAUUGCUGAUGUUUUGGGGGUUUUUUUGUUUGGUUUUUUUUUUGACCUUUGCUUUUCAUAACAAGCGUUCUCUGUAGUCUCCAUUUGUUUCAGGGUAAUGAGAUUCAGAAAGGGCUAAAUGCAGGUGCAGUUCUUAUUUUCUCCAAUGGAAAUGUCAUCCUCCUAACACUGAAUUUGAUUUUGUCUGAUGAUGACUGCAUUCUGGCAGCACCAUGCAGGUGUGUCAGGCACUUCUGUGUUAUGUUCUCUGAAUGCGUGUAAUAAAAAGAUGCUCCUUGUUCAUUAUUGCUUAGGAUUUAAGUUUUAAAGAACUUGAAAAACGAGAUUCUCUUGACUAGCUACAAGAGUGGUGUUUUCUUACCUCCCCUCUCCCCCCAGAAUUCCCAGAAAGCAUGUCAACAGUGUAAUCUUUGAAUUAAUAGGAGGGGAAGAUAAUAGAGAAAUUAUUGUGAAGGCUGGUAAUUGAUUUGAGAUGGCAUUCAUAUCUGGGAAGCCUUUUGUUUGGAUGUUGUUUUGGAAUGGUGAGAUUUUGAACUUAUAAUGGAAAUAAGAUGGAUAAAGUAUGAGCUAUGAUGGACAUUGAAUGAAGGGCAUCAUUAUGAAAAGAACAGGAAGAAAGGAGACUUCUGAAGCUUUUGUUUGUUGUGGGAACCUUAAUGAGAGAACAUGGCUAACAGAAGCAAGGCCUCAAAAUCUUCAGUCACAGGCACGAGUAUAAAACCCUGCAAUAAACAGUUCUUGCUGAACAGAGCAGAGAAGUAGGAGCUUGGAAAGCUUAGAAGCUGGGCAAUGCCAGUUGACAGCAGGCAUUAGUCAUGUAUAUCAGCAGCAAUAAGGGAGAUGGAUAAGAAGCUGCUCCAUAAAGGGAGCAGGUUCAUUGCUGAAGGAACUGUGAUACUUUUUUUCUCUAUUUCUUUAGCUUUGGGGUGUGGGAAUUUUCCAACACAGAGUUUGCAGGAACUAAGAGCAACUGCUUUCAGUCCGCACCCAGAGUAAAUGAAGAAUAGCAAUGAAAUGGAUGACUCAGAGACAUGACUGACUCUAAAUCCAGCAGCUGAUUGGAUGGAAUGUGUUCUUGAGUCCUAGACAUCUGUAUCAGACUUCUGAGCCUGUUUUGGUGCUUGCUCUUCCAAGUAUCUGGUCGCUGAAUAUUUUCCAAUCCAUAUUUGGAAAUAAUUGAUUCAUUCAUAAGGAUAAUAUUUGUGCUGUUCAGGAAAUGCAGUAGUUCGCUCACACAGACCUAAUUCAAGGGAUGCUGUACAACUAGCCAUUAUUUUAAUUUCUAAAAUAGUAUCAAAUCAUUUUCUGAGAACUCUGUAUGAAAGCACAGAUGAUACGAGCUGACUAUGAGUAACUCACGUAAAGCAGAGAAAAUGCUGGGUUUUAUUUUAAAAUAUUGAUGUUUCAUCAGUAACUCCUGUCUUGAACUUUAAAACAUUGCUAAGAGAUAUUUCCUUUUAAUGAUAAGAUGGGAUCUCACACAUUAUGUGAGUUGGAAUUCUUCCUAGACAAACUUCUGAAUGAGCAGCUGGCCACCAUAUAGUCUGCUCUUUGCUUACUUUACAAAAAUAUUCAUUUUGCAGCUGUCUUUCUUGUGGGACUCAAAAAUACUGCGUGUGCAAGUGGAAUCGCACUACUUCAGUGGUGCCAUCAGAGGAAUUACAGCUUUGAGUGUUGGUAAUUGGAAUAUUAUGUGUAGUCUUAUAGAUCCCUGAUGUAGUUUGUGUUGGACUUGUCAGAGCUAAGGAAUAGGCUACAGGGAAGCCAGAUGGCUGCAUUUUUGGGUACCACAGACUGGGCAUGUGCUUUUAACUUAGGUAGCUACACAGCUGUAGUAGAGUGGUUCUCUCCCAGGUGAUGGUGAAUCAUAGAAUGUCAAGGUUGGAAAGGACCUAUAAGAUCAUCUAGUCCAACUGUCCUCCCAUUACUGUUCCUACCACAAGCCACUAAACUGUAUCUUGUAGCUUCUCAUCCAGACACCUCUUGAACACUGCCAGGGAUGGCGACGCCACCACCUCCCUGGGCAGGCCAUUCCAGCCUGACCACUCUCUGGGAGAAAAAGUUUUUCCUUAUGUCUAAUCUAAAUCUCCUCUGGCACAACUUGAGGCCAUUUCCUUGGGUUCUGUUCGUUGCCUGGGAGAAGAGGCCAAACCCCUCCUCACCACAACCUCCCUUCAGGAAGUUGUAGAGUGCAGUGAGGUCUCCCCUGAGUCUCCUCAAGACUAAACAAUCCCAGCUCCCUCAGCCGCUCCUCAUAAGACUUGUGUUCCAGACCCCUCACCAGUUUUGUUGCCCUUCUCUGUAUAUGUUCCAGGGCCUCAAUGUCUUUCUUGCAGUGAGGGGCCCAAGAUGAAAUGCUGCAACUACCUGCCUGAAAUUCCACAUUUUUAAAAACCAUUAAGUUCACUUUUGUUUCUUAACAAUUUUUUAAGAGUUUAUCCAGGACCUUUUUUUGAAACUGGGAAAGUUUGCAGCUCUGAACAGGGAGAGACUUCCUAAGUGUUAAGUGAUGGUGAGACCCAGUCCCCUUCCAAGGUUACUGAGGAACCCUACAGCAUAGCUGAGAAGAGAAUACAGGUGUCCCUGGAACAGCCUUGGGCAUUCCUUUCCUUAGUUUGGGAUUCUUGUUUUUUUUUGUUUUCCUUUCCUGCAACAUUUUUUUUCUCCUGAUAGCUUCAUGGGUUCUGUGUGCCAAAAAAAUAGAAAAGAAAAACUGCUUUUCUUUCUGGUUUCUUGAUGACCUUUUAAAAAGUGUAUAAAUGGUGAGAAUUGAGCUUGUUGCUACAAUAAUCAACUAUCAAAUCAAUACAGUUAAGCUGGUUGCUAAGGGAAGGCCAUGUAUGGUCAUGAUGUAACUCUGAUUGCAGCAGCCCAUCUCAUAACUGGAGAGAGGUCGUGGAGGGGAGGAUUCUUCUACAGGGAGGGCUGCUUAAAUCUGAAUGCAGCAUAGCAGUGUUGAUUUAAAGUAUCUUCCUUUGUUAUGGCAACAGAAGGGAACUAUUGCAUGUCUUUUGAAAUAUCUAAUCUUACUUCCUUCAUUGACCUUGUUCUUGAUGAGCAGGAUUAAAUACUUUUGUAGGAAAUUUGCUUCAGCAAGUGUGCUUAGAAGUAUGUGGAGAUACAUAUCACUGUAGAAACGAAGUGUAGCAAACUACUUAUAAGACAAACUGAAUUAGCCUUUCCCCUUUUUUUUCCAAGUUCACAGUUUCAAAAUACACUCCUCAAAUACAACAGCUUUGUUUGAGCUUUGAGGCGAGUCCUCAUCCUUGGCUGCUGUGAAGACUUACCUCAAUAUGUAAAAACUGCCAUGGUUCUAAAGCUUUAAGUCCAUAGCUGCACUAUACUGCUCCUCCUUAUGACAGCCAAUAUCACAAUAUCUUCUUCCAGGCUCAGCUAUCACCAGCAAAUAUUCUGGCCUUCUGUAGCUGCUGGCAGCUGGUCUGACCAAGGGGGACUAGAUAACUGGCCUUGCUGGAUGAGUGGUGGCACGAUGUUGGCCAGAGAAUUAGUUUCUGAUGCCUGCAUUUUUCCUAGGCUUUGUGGCAUGCUUCUUGGCUGCAGCUGGGCCAUCAGACCAUUGUGAGUGGAACAAUCGCUGAACAAAAUGAGAUUCUAAAAGCACAAUAUGGAUUGUCUGUCCAAGGUUACUGCACAAUCAGAGUGAAUAGCAAAUUCAUAAUGUAAAUAUUUUUACCUCAGGUGUUUAUAAAAGCAAUAUAGAGAACAGGAUAUGUCAGAGGUGUUUAAUAAGAGAAGCAGGAACAGAUCACUUGAAGGCCUCCAGAUCAGAUAUCUCUUGAGGUAGCAGCUCCUAUGAGGCUAUGAAUAUUGAAGCAGAGGAAAGAAAUUUAGUUCAUUUUUUGCACUCAUUGCUAAAUACUAAUCUAAGUACCAGCUACUGUUCUUCUAAAAAGAGUGAUCCUUCUCCUCUACUCUGCCCUGGUGAGGCCACAUUUAGACUACUGUGUUCAGUUCUGGGCUCCCCAGUUCAAAAAAGACAGGGAACUCCUAGAAGGAGUCCUGCGGAAGGCCACAAAGAUGAUUAAGGGCCUGCAACACCCCCUGUAUGAGGAGAGGCUGAGUAACCUGGGUCUGUUCAGCCUGGAAAAGACUGAGGGGGGAUCUGAUUAAUGUUUAUAAACAUCUAAAGGGAGGUGGAAGGCAACUGGAUGAGGCCAGGCCCUUCUCGGUGUGUAGCGAUAGGGCAAGGAGUAAUGGCCUAAAACUUGAACAUAGCAAGUUCCAAACAGACGUGCAAAAGAACUUCUGUACUUUAGAACUUUAGAGUGGCACUGGCAAAGGUUGUGCAGAGAGGUUGUGAAAUCUCCUAUGGAUACAUUCAAGGCCUAUCUGGAUAUCUACCUGUGCAACCUAUUGUAAAGAACCUGCAUUAGCGGGGGGGGUGGCCUUUAUGAUCUCUUGAGGUCCCUUCCAACCUCUGAGAUUCUGUAAUCCUUAGAGACAAUAACAAUUAAAUUGUCAUAGAAAUGUUACCUCUUGAGUUGCUGUUAUCCUGAGUCAGGGUUAAAACUCUUUGGCUGAAUUACCUGGGCUGCCGCUGCUUGUAUCUGCCUUCCCUUUUUAGAGAGCUGUAGGCUCUGGAAAGGUUGAUCUGCAAAUCUGAAGAUCAAACAAAACCUGGAGAACAAACGUCACUUGCACUUUGUUCCAUUAAUGGUAAUAGAUGGGAUUUUUUGCUACAGUGUUCACCAUUCUUUGUCUGAACCUGAGAAACAUAAUUCUAGGCAAGGAAAAGUGCAGAUUAUCCCCUGGACAGAUGACCCACAGAAAAGAGAUUCAUUUAAUACAGGGUUAUGAAAUUGCUUACAUAAGCAAGGCUUGAUUAGUAUGGGUUUUUGUUGUUGUGUUUUUUUUUUUUUUUUUUUUUUAAUUUUUCAUUAGGCUGUUGUGAGUCACUGCUGGUGAGUUUGCAGUAAGGGGUGUGUUUUGAAGAAGGGAAUGUAAAGAGUGAGGGAGAAACUGCCUGCUUUCCAAAAUAUACUCUUCAAACCUGGAAGGUUCUGGCUCUAGAAAUGGCAAGCUGUAAAUACAGUUGUAGUAUUUUGAUAUUACAAACCAAUGGAGCUUUGCUGCCUUGAUUGUUAUGUCAAUCAGUAGUUCUCAAGGAAGUUACUUUUAAAGGCUUUAUGCAGAAGUAAUUGUGCUUGUUUUACUGAGGUUUUCCAUUGCUGGGUUUUGAGUGGCUUAUUAUUAUUAUUAUUAUUGAUGGUGGUGGUGAUUGUUUGUUUUGUUUGUGUUCAGAUUUUUCUUCAGAGUACUCUGGUAGUAUAUUGUCCACAAAAAAAAAAAAAAAAUCUUGCUAUAGGGUGGGUGACAGUGUGGGGCAGAGCUGGAGGAGCCAUGCUUUGAAGGCUCUAUGAUCGGCUAAAUGUAGACUGCAGGUAGAAAGCCGAGAACUUCCUGCCUUCCUCACAGGUGCUGAGCUGGCUGACCUGAUGCAUGCUGUGAAGGAGGAGGCUGCUUCUUCCCUUCUCCCUGUUCCUCCUUGUUUAGGAUUUCAGGGCAGGGGCUGUGGCUACUCAGUGCAUGUGCUACACCCAUGACCUGGCAUCUGAGUAGCUCCACUUCAUCCCUGCAUGUGUAUGUAGGGCUCAUUUCUCCUGCCUGCUUUCUGCCCUAUUCAUGAUAACAAUCUAGCCUUUAGACUGUUUUCCACUUGGCAAAAUCGCCCACAACCAACCAUUGUUUGGUUUAAUGCUGACCUUGUAGCUUGUGAUGAACCCAAGACCUACGCAAACAGAAAGUGAAUAGCGACAGCUGAAAAGUAUCUUAUCAGAUAUUAGAAAGAAUAAUAAACAAGAGGAAGUGGCUGUAAGAAUGCCUUUCAGUGAGACUAUAUUAAAUAGAGCUUCAUAGUCUGAAUUCUGUGAUGAUAGAUAGGUUCAGGCAGAGAUUACACUGAAGCAAUGCUGCUUCUGUACUCAGAGAUAGUCACAGUACUGUACUCUAUUGCCCGACCUCUGCUCAUAAAUGGUGAAAUUACCAGUAGCUCCAGAUAAACUUACUAACAGGCUUGAGGUUUUCAAGAUGAUUAAGGUGAUAUACUAUUUAUUCUGGAGCUUCCCUGGCAGCCAGGGAGAACCAUUCAGAAGUGUGUUUGAGAACCAAGAGGUUAUCAUGCAUUUGGCUCUGAAUCCAUCAUAGCAUGUGCUGCCUCUUGUCUGGCCAUCAGACCAGAGACAGGCUAGAGGCAUGAAAGAUGUGUUUGGGAGGAUGUGUAGGGAUGGGAAUGGACACAGGGUGCCAACAUGUGAGGUCACAGUGAGACAAAGAGCUGGAAAUACUGUGGAUGCUGCUUGUAGGAGUAUAGAGGAGCAUUGCAGCAGUGAGGCUUGCUGAGGUAAGAGGUAGUAGGAGUGUAGUCUUCGCAUUCUCAUAUAUAAUAUUUUUGCUGAUCACAUAGUGACUUGUGGUUUUGGUGAGGUUUAUUUCUGUUUGCUAUUAGGAAAUAGCUAUGUUCCUUGUAGACAGGCAAACACCAUAUACAAAUCAAAGCUCUUCCUUCCUGUUCUACCUUUUUGUCAAGGAAUAUGAGGUGACUAGUAAGUCUGUGUAUGCUAUGGAUGGUGCAGCUGAAGGUUGAGACAAAGUGAGAUGGAUAAGGGAAGAACCUUGGGGCAAAACAGUCUUCCUGCCAACUAGUCCUUUCUCUUUUUUUUUUUUGAGUCCUGGACUCCUCUUUACAGAGGACCUGCAAGGAUGAGUAGUCUGACAGAUUCUCUGUGUGAUACUGUGUAAACCCACUGGCAGUGAGCUAGUUGUCUGAAAGAUUGCAGUAGUUGUCCCAAGGACUGUAAGCAACAAGCAAGAAUAAAUGCCAGUGACAGCUCAGUGCAGCUGAAGGAAAGUGAGGAGGACAACAAAACCUGCUCUUCAAAACAGAUAUGUGUUCAAAGCCUCCACUGCUAAAUCUCAAGGAAUAAAUGUUCUCUUUAUAUAGAGUGAGUUAGGAGUUGAACAUUGUGUAAUAAUAUGGCCCGACCUGAUCGAUGAAGUAUGUUGAUGCUAAUGGGACUGCCAAAAUUGAACACCCAUUUCGCAGGAUUGAGAUUCACAUGUCAGAUACAUUAUGGCAUCUUUUCCCCAAAUACUAGAGAGCCUAUCACUGGGGGCAGCAGUUUACUUGUUUGUUUGUUUUUUGACAUCUCGUGGGUUUCCUCGGGGGAAGAUGACUGGUUUCUGGAAGCUCUAGUACUAGUUUUCUAGUACUCUAGUUGGAGCAUCUCUAGCAGCAAGGGCUGUCCUGCCUUGAAGUCCUAUUAACACAUCUGUUUGCUGCCCCAGGGUAGAGAAGCCUUGGGAAUCUGCACAGAGCUGAUGCCUCUGAGAAUGUUUGGAGUUGUGCUCGGUCGCAGGGCACUGUAUUUUUUAUUUAUUUUUUAAAAUAAAUGUUCAGGAGUGUUUGCAGAAUGACUGUGGACUAAAUAUAUGAGGCAGGGUUUGGUUUGCCUGACGUGCUGCCUUGGGAGGAGGGUAUUUCAAGGCUGGUACAGUGGGGAGAGAAAGCUUCCAUUUCUGGAGGUGUACCUGGGGUGCUGUUAGCUGCACUCCUGGAGGAGGAGCAGAGUGGUGGCAGCUCUGUUGUCUCCCUAGCAUUUCCUCUCCUGCCUCCUCCAGGCUCUGUCUUGUUUGCAGUGGUUGAAACUGCAAAAGCAAUCCGAGGCCUAGCAUUGAUCUAAAUGGUUUAAACACAUCUAAAGCCUUAGGGCCAAAUCGAGCUGUAACUAUUCAUGUGAGUAGUUCUGUUGACGUCAGUGGGUUUUCUUGCUUAAGCAUACUAGAUUUGACAGCUAGGUUAGAGGUUAUCAAGAUUUUAAGCCAUUUGAAAAGGGGGAAAAAAACCCAACCAAACAGAAACUCUUAAUGUCCCUUAAACUGCAGCAGAACUUGAGAGAUUGGGGACAGCAAGAAAUGGCUGGAAACAGAAGCAGAGCAGUGUCUUUGUUCCCUAAAUGUUUGUUUAUUAAGGAGAUUAACUUAAAUGCAAGGUGUGGAAGCACAUACAUGCCCCGGAGCUGCACAGGCUGCUUUUUCUUGACUAGAGUUUUUAGGCUUUAAGAUACUCAGCUUGCUGUUUGCAACUUGGGAAAAAAUCCUACAUCUGAAAAAGCCUUCAUGUUCCCAAAUUCUUUUCAGUUGUCAACUGGUCUGGAAAAUAUUGCUUCGAUUCUAUAGUUCUUCCUCCAAACUCUACCAUGUUACACUGUUAGGUCAUGAAGCUAACAGUGCUGUUACUGCUUUAACCCACAGUCAUGUAUCUCUGGGACAUGCUUGUAUGGAAAAUUGCAGGAGCCAUGACUCUUGUCGCCCUGGCAGUACAGCUUGUGCCCAGGCAGUCCCGUGGUGACUGGGCACGAUGGAGAGAAAAGAGGCCAUGCAUCUGGCCUUGGCCUUCCCACAGCCUACAUGUGGGAGCUCCACUUGGCAGUACUCUAGAGGAAGGGGUAGCUUCUGCACUGACAAAACUUGUUGAGGUGUGGAGUUUCAGCAUCCUCUGCUCUAAAGGGAACAUUUUGAAGUCAAUCUCAUGACAGUUCUCCACUGUGGGAGGCUGACGUCUAUAAAGCCAGGACUGUGUUAUAAGGCACAGUAACUUUGGGCUUGUGCAGCACCUAAGUAAUCCCAGGAGCACUUUGCAAAGUGGCAAAGUACAUGUAAAUGCUGCGAGCGUGUAGGCAGGAGAUAAGGAGAAGCUUUGAGGAAAAGAAUGGUUUUGCUGGGAGGAGGUGGAACAAAGUGGGAGUGGGCCUUUCAGCCUGAGCGCCAACGUUGUGCAGCGCUCCCAGCCCCAGCCUGGUCACCGGGAGGCCACAGAGGUAGUGGCUGGUGGAAGCAGGGGCUGCGAGCAGGAUGGGCCAUUUGGCAGUGCCAGACUGGGCUUGUUCUGGGCUCUGGGUAUUUUAUUUCCCAUCAUGUCUGCUGUACCAGUUCGCAAGACAUGACAGGCAGCUUCGCCUUGUAAUUUAUUUGAUCAUGGUAAUUUUUUUGACAGGCUUCCUUGUGAUUUUUUAAUAUAUCAAAUAGAGUUUAAUAAUAGCUUGCUAUUAAGUCCUUUUAUUUCUCCCUUGGGAUUUACUUAUGACUGUUGCUUCUCUUACCAAUUUUAAGCUCUGAAUCUAUUUUCCAACUGCAAGGAACUUAGCAGCGUGAGUGCAUGUAUAAUAUGUAAAAACAUGAAACAGAAUUGUUGUUCUGCUUGGGAGUUAAUAAAUGUCAGCAUUGGAGGUAAUUGAAGGAUAAGCCAGGCUGCUUAAUUUCCAGGAGUAUUCCUAUCAAAUUCAAGGCUGUCAGGAGGUUGCUCUCCAGAAGGACUUUUUUCUUCUAAUUUUAUUUCCACUCCUCUUUUGCAGAUGAAUUUUAUCAUUGGCUUCAGGGUCAAGUGACCUCUGAGGAAAAGAACCUCAGUGAGAGCAAAAUCGAACAGAAUAAAGUCAGUUGCACGGUGUAGCUGAUAGCUUUGAAAUAUCAAAGAUAAUAAAAGAGGCUGUGUACAUUUAAUCACAGUAGGCUAAGCAUAAACUAAAUGUCAUCUAAUGAAAGACAAUUCCCUUCUGUAGUAGGAGGAACCAAAAUUUCCUCAUUUUCCUUAUUUAUCCUGAGAUCAUUGGUGCUGUAUCUUUUAUUACUUGUUUUCUAUCUCCACACAUGCUAGGUCCAUCUAUUUUUUUCUGGUCUUUGCUUUUAUUGGUGUUUUCCAAGAAACUCCAAUAAGAUACUUGUGAUACACUCAUUACUUUUAUAUGUGAUUUUUACGGAUAUGCGCAAGCCUGAUAGAGACAGACAACACAAAGCCUGAUCUGACAGGUCAGGAUUCAGGUGUGCCAGAUGUCCCUCAGACCCUGCCUUAUGCUUCCCAUUCACGUGCUACCACUUGGAUUGUUUAGCCUGUCUCGUCAUUCAGAUUUGUCCUUUCCAACUCAGGUUUUUCUGCCCAUCUCUGCCAGAAAGAAAAUCUACUAGAUAUGGGACAGGGAAAUUUUCACCUAGUUUAGAGUCAGUUGAAGUUCACAGGCAAAUACUACCUUGUGCUAAGCCCUAGUGAUGUUUGCAGCACUGUGAGAAUAAUGUAGCAUGUAGCAUUCUUUUAAACUGUAUGUGCCUGUGGCAGACCCCCAUUUGCAGUUGUGAUAUAAUUCUGGGAGAAGGGCAUUACUAAAAUAGUAUGAUGUCUAGCACUUUGCACUGUACCAGUUUUACCCUCUGUUAACAUGUUGGAUAGAUAAGUGAGGAAAUGCCUAAGUGCACCCACCCCCAUCAAGAAUAAAAGUCAUAAAGUGUUUAAAUUGCUUUGUGUAUGGCUAAAAAGGAGUUGACUGUCUCACAUAGCAGUUGCUCCUCCUUCAGCAGAAAGCUGAGACCUGCAAAAGUUCCCAAAUUCCAUUAACAGUCCUCAAAGGCAGUUGAUUCAGAAGCAGGUAAUGAUUUGUCCUUAGCACUUGAGCAUAUAUGGAUUGAACAGAUUUCCUGAGGUAAAAUUUUAUUUUCAUUAAAUGGAGUGUAUUUUCCAGGAUGUUAGGCAGUCAAGGAUUAUUUAUUUAUCUGCAAUGUGAAAUUCCUGUAGUGUUUUUAUAUUUUAUCCUUUGUCUCUCCUUUUCCUUCUCCUCUGUGGUGGUAUUUGCUGUGACUAUUGGGAGGAAAUGUUGUUCUGCUUACUAAUAUUUUAGUUCCUCUUACGUAGCUAGAGGACUUAUGAGGAAGACUGUGUUGAGGUCACACACUACAGCGGCAUGGUGGUGGAGGCUAGAUGAUCUUCCAUGAGCAGAAUGGCAUGGCCCAGAAGAUCAAGUCACAGGGAGAGAAAGAACGUUUUACAUUUUAUAAGAACAGGUGAAAAUUUUUUAAGAUAGGCACAGAGUGUAAAUCUAAUUCUGAUCACUUGUAUAGAAACAGUGCAAUGACUGAGAUUCAAAAUGUGACAAAGCAUACUGAAAUGAUUUUGAUGUGCACAUAAGAAAGCACUUAUUAAAGGAUCCCAGCAGCCGCCACUUGCUUCAAGUUCCAGAAACAUCGGUGUGCUUCGAUUUGACCUUAUUAUCCCUUUUCCUAGGAAACAGUUAUUCAGGUGAAUCUAAGUCAGAAAGCAUCUUAUACUUCCCUGAAUUUCCUUGAAGGCUUUCUAAAAUAAAUGAAACCUGCAGCAAGUUCUGAAGACUGUUAAAUCCAAGUUUGUUUUGAACUAGGAAGCAGUGAACUUUUCAGAGCCCUUAGGCCAUUUCAGGGGGUGCUGCACUGGCUGUAGCAAUGCAGCAUUUUUCCAGAGCGCUGAUGAAGUGAUUGAUGAUGGAAAAGUAGGGAAGUUAAUAAAAUGGAAAUGUGCAUUUUGUGAUCAAUGGAAAUAUGAAGUAAUGAAGAAAAGCGGUGCUGCUUCAGUGAAAGGGUAUUGACAGGAACUUCAGUCUCCUCCUACACAUCAUAUCCCGUUCUGUUCCCUAAAGCAAUGAUGGGAAGAGGAGGAGAGGGAUCAAAUUUUAUUUAUAUUUUUUGCACAGAGGAUAAAAAUUAAUGGUUGGAAGGUGGUGGAAGUUCUCUAUAACUUUCUGAAUUUCUGAAUAUGAAGAGAGUGAAUGGAGAAACCAUUACGCGCAGUUUUUCUUUCCAUUAGUUUGUCGUUGCCUCUGGAUUUUUGUGUCUGAAGUGCCUGCUUGUUGCAGGAACCAGGGGACUGAAUCAUUACAGGCAGCCCACAGGUCUGAUGACUUCAUUUCCUGGGUUAUAUAAAAUCCAAACUUCCUAACAAAUUGUCUGCAGGAAGUGUUUACCACAUUGCUAUAGAACAAUUAGAGUGCACAGAAACCUGACCAGGUUGAAAAAACAAUUACAUGAAGCAUUGACAUUAAUUUAUAAAGACCUUUAAGCACGGCUGCGGGGUUGCCAGCCAGGAAGCCAACCAACCAACCAACCUGGGUUCCUGGGCAGAAAUACUCAAACAUGAAGCAUAGAUUUACUUUGAAGGGUGGAGACCUACGUGGAAAAAAAUGUGAUUAAGGCAUUAUGUCUGGUUUGUUACAUUCCCUCUAAUAAAUUGUUUACUUGUGGGGAGCAAUAGAUCCUGCAUUCACAAGCACUAACAGAAGUCCACUGAGUACCUUAGGUUUAGUCUAGAUUUAAAUAGACCAAUUAGCAACUGAAAUUGCUGUUUUGUGUGGGGAGGAGCCAAGCAAACACCUCCACUCCUUCACAAAUUUAUUCUUGUCUGAGCUGUUUGGAGCCCAUGAAGACGUGGGGCUCCCCACACUGGCAUGAUGUCAAUGCAUUAAAUAAGGUCAGCAGAAAGAGGAAGAACCUGUUCAUCUCUCACUGUACAGAGUGAAAAGUUACCCCAUGCAAAACAGUAUUUCCCCAUCCUAUGUAGGCUACAGGCAUUUACUGUCCUCUUUUGCUCUGAAAGUUCAGCUUUUCCCUGACUAAUCAUUCUUUCUAAUACGAAACAGCAACAGAACAGAAUAGAGAACUGUUGACAACUACAUAAAACACACCACUUUCAAAUACACCAUUUUCUUUUCUAAAGACCCCAACUGAAACAAGGAACUUCUUUUAGAGCUAUUAUUGAAGCCAUGUUUGUAAGUCUUGACUUUCUGGCCAAGUUCUGUUAGUUACUUUCACAGUCUGCAAAUUUUCAUCAGGAUGGCAGACUCCUGUUCUCUUAGCAUUACAAUUUAUACCUCUUUUCAAAGUUUGAAAAGAAGAUUUUGAAAAGGGAAUACGAUGGCUCUUAUGUGAUGCCUGACACUGUCUUUAUGCAGAAGAUGAAAUGAGAGAAGUUGGAAAAAGUACAUCUUUGCUUUCAACUGAAAAUGUAAAAAAAAAAAAAAAACAACUCAAAAAACAGCUGGCAAAUCAACAAGCUAUUUAAAUGAACUGUUUUAGAGCUUUAACUGAGAACUAAAAAGGAUAUUGCUGUGAUUGCGAUUUUAUACACAAUGGAAAAUUGUUCUCUGAAUCAUUACUUGCCAAGGAUUUCUUAUUGGAAGGUGCAGAAUAUCCACCUCUAGGGAACUGCCAGUACCAUGUUUUAUCCUUAUAUUCUUAAAGCAGAGUCCUUGGUGGUACUUAGGACUUGCUAACCACAAGUGGAGACUGGUGUGGCACACUGGUAAUCUCAAAGGAUUGUAUCUUCCAAGUGAGCCACCUAAGCAGUCUACCACCUCUUGGUCCACAAGUUUGUGGUUGAGGAAACUCUCUGUUAGAACUGUUUGUCAGAAGGUUAGUUUAUGUUUAAUUUUGAUGUUUUUCUUUUAGAUGAUAAUGAUCAGAUCUCUUGCUAUGUAAUUGUAGCUUUCCUUAGUCUUCUAAGAAAGUCUUUCAUCUGUUAAUUAUCUGGUUCACUUCUUCCCUAACUUCAGUGACACGUGUGGCUGUUGGAGGGUUUCCAAUGUGCUAUCCUUAUAGAAGCUUGUAAUGGUGCAGUCUGUGCGUGUUACCCAUUUGAAGCAAUACUUUUCUUUUUUUUGAACCAUCUCCACUUGGAAUAAGAUGUCUUUCUCACAUAAGUUUUCCUGUCUAUGAAAAAAACAACUGUGAAAGGAUAUCACAUCUGUGAUACUUCAUUACUGUUUCAAAAGUACUGAGAGCUCUGGUCAGUUGCACUUGCAUGACUGUUGAAUAUCACGCAAAGCUUAAUUCUGUGUUUAGAUUCUUAAAUAAAAACAGUAUGAUUUCAGAGAUGCUGAAAGAGAAGCCAAUAAAUACUUAACUAAUAAAGUUACUUAAAUUUAAGUGACUAAUUGCAUAAACUAUAGGAAUCUGGAUCUUAGUGCCACGUUGUUACCAAGUGCUGGAAUUGUCAAUAUUUAAACUAAAGUAUAGGACUAGGUGCUUAAGCUUUUAAGUCUGAAUUUGGAGAGAGUCUGGCUUUAAGUAAAUGCUGAGCUCUCACUAUCUGCAACUUUGGCAUAAGCAAAGUAUCACAGAAGGGGCAUCUAUGAUUACAGAGUGUUUUGGCUUAGAACCUGCUAUCAUUUUCUCUUUAUUGAGGCGCUGCUGCUUAGAACACAAACUGGAAAGAUACAAACAGAGCUAUUGUCUUCAAGGGAUUUAUUGUCAGCAUUCAUGUUGAUAUCUAAAUCAGUUUACUCAGAAUUUUUGCUGAAAUUUUUAGAGAGUAUGUUUUUAACAUGUUUUAUGUUAGAGACUGAAACAGCUAUUUUAUGGUCUGACCGGGGCUUAUUUGCAUUGCAGGCUUUGACUAUGUAUGAGGACAUACAUGUAAACCAAAUGCUUGGUGUCCUGCCCCAGUCAGCAUUCACGUGUGCAGAUCUACCACUACUGUGUUUGCUAUAUGGUGCUUCAUACAUGGGGCUUUGUACAGUCCAGGAUGUUUGAAGCAAAUCCCACUCUAUCAGUUUGUUUGGGCACACACUUUUAUUUUACAGGUGAUUACUGGAAGUAUUCCUUGCUGUCAAGUCCCUGGUUAGCUGAUAGCUUUCUUACAAGUGGCUGUUCCUAGGCCUACAUAGAAAGGUUUGACUAUUUGGAACUUAGAAGUUCUGGUUAAAAUGCAGAGAUACAGCUAGACAAGAAAUAAAGGUAUGUGGAGCAAAUGAACGUCAACUAUAUUCUUCGAUUAUGGAGUCCAGCGUUGUCUUUACUUAGCUGAAGAAGUUAUGGGAAUCAGUAUCAACAGGAUGGUCCUGCAGAGUAAAGGCAGCUCUGUAGCACAGUGGUGGUCUCAUUCUCCAUGCUGUGGAGAGAAGUGGAAUGUUUGGUCUGGCUCUGAUUGGUUUACUGAAGGAGCAGAUUGCGGUACCUACGUGUUGCUGGGAAGGAAAUCUGGCCUCCAGGGAGCGCUGUGUAAAUGUAAGCAGCAGCUCCUUUUAUUCCCUUUUGGUGGCUCGGAUUAGAAACUAUUAUGAAUCAAUCAGACCCAAUUAAUAUGAUUCUAUGUGUACCUGCCAAAUCCAUCUUAAUGGAAAAAUAGUUUUAGUUUAUUAAAUUACUGGUGAAUAUAUACAUGUCUUCCUCAUGCUUUGAGACAGGCCAACUCUGCCCGGCCUUUUAAGAAUCCAGUUAGAUUAAGGCUUCAGCAAAAGUGAAAUUCCCUUGGCUUUGGUGGCUCAAGGAGUUUUUAGUGGAGAAGUGCUAAGGCAGAAUAGCUUACGAGAGGGAAUGGCUUCAAGCUGCGCCAGGGAAGGUUCAGGCUGGACGUUAGGAAAUACUACUUCUCUGAAAGGGUGGUCAGGCACUGGAAUGGGCUGCCCAGAGAGGUGGUGGAGUCACUGACCCUGGUGGUAUUUAAAGAGCGUUUGGAUGUUGUGUUAAGGGACAUGGUUUAGCGAGAACCAUUGAUGAAGAGCGAACGGUUGGACUGGAUGAUCCUGUGGGUCUUUUUCAACCUUAGCGAUUCUAUGAUUCUAUAGUGCUAUUGUUCUGUAGGUACUACGAUAAAUGCUAUACGCUUCAGCUUGUGUAUCUGUCAGCAUGUAUUAACGAAAUUAAGCUGUUAAAAAGAAAUUCAAAACGUAGGAAAAAAAUGUAGCAGAGCAAAAUAAUUUUUCAGGUAUACCAAAAGUAUUUAAUCCGAAAAUCACAAGAACUCCAAUUCCUGGGUGUGAAAACAGAGGCAACAAUAGGGUUGUGGCACGCAACCUCCCAUUAAUAAUCUCUCAAGAAUGGCAGAUACCAGUUUGCAUGCUGAAGGAUUUUCCUGGCGCUGGUCUGUAGCAGCUAGGCACAUCUGUCUCUAUUUUAUACUAAUUUGGCAGAAAUAUGAACCAGAGGCGACUUCCCUUAAGUCACAUGCACAAAAAAUUAACAUAGAAACAGAAUGUAGAAGUCCUGACUUCUUGUGAACAUACACCAUCCUUCAGCGGGUGCUGUGGGCUGUUCAGCUGCCUUCUCUUUAUUUCUGGAAAGAAGUGGACCUGCUUUUAACAGUGUAUUUUGCAUAUGAUGGUGCUGUGAAUAGGGAAAAGGCAAAUACUUUCAGUUUGCCAAAGCUGCUAGACUUCGCAUAAAGAACAUAGUCAACAUUUGAAUUAGAUGAGAUUAAGUAAACCAUUCAAAAUGAAGAUAACUACCCUUUUCUGUUUGUUGUAUUUUCUAAGUCAAAAUAACUGUUGGCAGAUGCUGGAAAUACGGGCUGUGCUCUCAAGGUCUACAUCUCUCUGGCGUUUGCAGAGUAGUGACUGUCUGUGAGAGAAGUGUCCUGGGAUUCCCCUACUCAGUGCUGUGAAGCUAUCAUUCUUUAUCAGUUCACUGCUGCUUCCUGUUUAUAGGAAAUUCUUGGUGGGAAUGGGGAUAGGGUUGCUUUGGGUUACAGUUCAAAUAAAGAUGAAGGAAAAGUCCUGUGAACGAGGACGUUGGCUCAUGUGACCAUUUGAACAGUUCAGUCCUAUUGCUGUAACAGCUUUUCUGUAUUUGCUCAAGUGCCUUCUCCUGCAGAAGAUGGAUUUCUGUCUCAUCAAAGAGCAAACGCUUCAGGAAAACCUGGAAUGUUGUGCUACCCAUCUUAUUGAGGUUUUUUGGUCACUGUUGGUGUGGGCAUUUUUAUUUAGGUUGUAUAAAAUAAUCCUGGAUGGUUUGUCCUGCUCAGUGAUGCUGACUGAGCAACUUUUAGUCCCUGAAGGAGAUUUUACUUCUCUUUCGGCUUUUCCUUGGUGCUUCUCACCAUUCCUUAACAGGAAUAUCUUCAUGGUCUUCCCAUCUCCAUGUGUUAAUGCUGGCUUUCAUUGCACUUGAAGAAAGCUUCAUCUUCCUUUGAUCCUUAGUGCUUCGGUCCUGUUAAGCUUCCUCACAUCAUUAGCAACGUAAAUCAGAGUCUCUUUCUGUUUGUAACUUCCUGCUCCUGGUAGGCUCUCUCCUCUUCUGAGAUGUUGCUUUCAUGGGUGAAGAAUCACUGACUAAAAUGCUUGUUGUGGAGAGAUGAGUAGAUAAUCUGCUGAAAUGUUGCAUCAUAGGAUCACAGAAUGGCUUAGGUUGGAGGGGACCUUAAAUAUCAUCUAGUUCCGACCCCCCAGCCAUGGGCAGGGUUGCCAACCACUAGAUCAGAAUCCCACCCAACCUGGCCUCGAAUGCCUCCAGAGAUGGGGCAUCCACCAUCUCUCUGGGCAGCUAGCUGAGAAGUGGGAGCACCUCCUUCUUGAGAAUGCCAUGUGGCUGACAGACAUUUUCUCUUUGUCACCUGGAAUGUCCAGGUCUCUUCUCUCUUCAUGUUUUUUAGUAUAGGAAUCAGAAAUGGCCCUAAGAGAUAAAACAUUCUGCUCAUUAUCGUUAAGAGCAUUGCUUCAUGGCCUCUUUUAUAAAUCAGUAACAGAAGGUAAUGGAGCAGAAGGUACUCUCUGAGAACUUAAUUAAUCCAAGCAGAGAUAUGUGCCUAUGAUGUGAGUUAGGAUUAGGAAUUAGCUCUGAAAACAAAAUAGCCUAUGCAAAAUUGAUGUACACUGGUCUAUAAAACAAUUCAGUGAAUGAGGUCACAUUUUUAAUGUAGCAUUUCUUGAAAUAAUUGACCACCACAGUCUUCAUCAGAGAAGGCAGUAAAGACUGAAUGAGUAAUUUUAUCACUUAAAGGAAAUUUAUUAAGGCGUGGAGGGGCUGACCAUCCUUUCACUAAGCCAGAGCCUACGAGGCUAAUGUGGGCCUCUUUUUAGCUCUUUUUACUUUUUGAGCUAUGCCUUGAAUGCAGACGCCUGUGAUCAGGAUGGGAGGUGCAGUUAAGUUCUGAAGGAGGGAAAGCAUCCAGGAAAAGAAUAUAAGUGUCUAUGUGGGCAUCAGAGAAGAGAGAGGGGUUGGAGGAAUGACAGGCUUCCAUGUCACAAAGUGAACUUGUUCCCUACGCACGCCUGCGGGAGUGGGCGUACAGGGGAGGCUGACUGCCUGAUUUGCUUCUGGAAAGCUUCCAUGUUUUCAGCAGAGUGAAAAGAACAUUAUUUUUAUUACUAUUAAAAAGUGCUUUUGAACUUAACAGUAUCUGCAAGUGAGUCUUACAGUGCUGCUCAGUGGAAGGUUACCUGAAAGUCAGAGGAUAUGUUUAGUCUGAUGCCUUGGGAGGCCUCAAUCUGCAUUUCACCUGUGUGACUGGAAAACUGAGUACAAGGGAUUAGAAGGCUCACAUGGUCGGUAAUGGGAUGCAGAAGGCCUUCAGACAGAGCAGGAGGGAUCUUCGGUAAGCUGUGAAAGGGGAAAGCAAAGGCCUUGAGGAUUAUAAGCAAAGGAGAUGAGAAAAGAGCAUCAGAGGACAAAGAGUGGUCCCGGGGAAAGAUGAUUAAUGAGAAUUUCCAAAGGCAGUGGCUUCAGGUGCACCUCCUAGGGGCAAGGCAUUAGCCAGCUCUGAACAGAAGGGAAGGAGGGGCUGAAAGGUAAUGGGAGGAAAGAGGAUGGCUUCUGCAUAUGCCCAAGUCCCUCAGGAAACUGUAUGUGAGAAAAAAUCUUGCAGUGAUGAAUGCUGUCAAAGAGUGGAUUUUGAAAAGAUGUUUUUUUUUUUUUAACCUGCAGAAAAAUGAGAAUGGUGAAGUCUUCAGUGGCCAACUGUUCUUGUGCAUAGCAGGGGCACUGAAAGACAGAUAUGUUUGUUGGGAAGAUGUCUUGUGUGGAUACUGAUGCUGUCGUGUGCUUGCUCUGGGAAUAACAAAAAAAAUUGGCAUUCAAAGCUUCUUCCCAGAGAGAAGCAAAGGAGAGAAGUACAUGUUGUUGUUUUCAACUGAAGUGAAAGCCAAAGUUUUUGGGUUUGGGUCUCCUGCCCCAUCCCCCUCUCCCUGUACCACAGCUCAUGGCAUAGGCCAGGUCUUUCUGUUACAGUGUGGUGUCACUCAGCAGUAGGCCUUGAUCUCAGGCCUCCCUGCCUGUCCUCAGAGAGCUCCUGCCUCUGGGGACAGCCCAGUAGCCUUCUCCCACGUUUUAAGAUGCUGUUGGGCACAAAGGAGUUACAAGAAUAAGGGAAAAGGAGGACAAGGAGGAGAUUCUGGCCAUGUUUUUGUUAUUUUUAUGGUUAGAGUAGAGCAAGGUAGCUUUCUGACAGGCACUCUGCGUACCCCUGUCACCCCUGGUGGUGUGAGUCAAAGCAGUGUGUGCAAAGUGUGCCACAGAAAAAUGAUCAUUGAUGCCCAAUGUUUUCUUUGCCCAUAACACUAAGAAAGAAGGGUAUUCCUGGCAUCUCUGUGUGCUGCAAAUAGUCUUUGUCACCAGUGACUAAGGAUUGGAUAUGAUUUUUUAAAAUUAUAUCUGCAUCUGUUACAGAGAAACUUAAACCUUCCUAAUCAAGUCUAUCUUUGAGAUAAAAAGUGCUUUGAAGUUAAGCUAUUCCUGCACCUAGUAAGUGGCAGGGGUCAAGAAAGAAGGUCUAAGAAAUAUCUUAUUCUGCAUUAAAGCAGGAGAAAAGGAGCAGCAAAAAUAUGCCUCUGAUAACACUGUAUUACCUCGGGGCAGAGGGAAGAAUCCUGAAUGCAAAAUAUGGAGCUUGCUGGCUUCCCAUAGGAACUUCCUUAUCCAGCAGGGUAUGACCAUUUUCAUUCUUCAUUUUUCUUCACAUUUUCACCCCCUACUUCUUUUUUUUAGGAGGUCUGACACCCAGCCCUGUUAGGAAAUAGAGUGUAUCCUUCCAAAACAACAUCAGGUAGUGCUCCCCACACCAUCCCUACUCUUCUCUUUUAUCUCCUUGGGGAGCCCUUGACAAUUAGGCCCUCUAAUAACCAGCUAGAUAGGAAUAAUUCUGCAGUGAAUGUAUCUCAUCGAUUCCAUAUGUUGUUUAUAUUGUUUGUGAAUAAAUGUGUUCUACAAGAAGUUUAUUAGUUUGUAUAACUCAAUUUUUAUGUGAUCUCCACAAAAAAUAAUAAUAAUAAAAAAAUAAAAGAAAACCAAGCAAAACAAACAAAGAACAACAAAAAUCCAAUGCAAGAAACUAGUCAAAGGCACCAGUCCUUAGUAGGAAUAGAAAGAAUGUGAAAUUUUUAGACCGAGCUAUUUUAGAGAGCUGACAAAUCCAAAGAGUAUUCAAUAACACUUUUGAAAAUGGAAUUCAGUGCUUUUUUCUUUCUUUUUUUCCUUCUUUUGGAAACUUUUCCUGUUCUUUGCCCCACUCUGAUCAAUCACAUGUUCAAAAUUCAGAGGAAUGAUUUAAACUUUGAGAAGGAUUAGCUCCAGCUUUAUUGAGAAAUUUCUCUUCUUCAGUGAUGCCAAUGCCCAAAAAUGAGAAGAUUCUUUAGACCUGUGACCAUUGCUUGCCUGAGUAAUUCAUGUUCAGGUCAAUGCUUUGAUAGUGGCUACAGCUGAAUUUUAUGAACACAACAGAGCAUAGUGCUGAAAAAAUUGGCAAAGCUUACUACAGCAGAGUAGAGUGGUGGAGUUCUGUCUGUACUUGCGGUCUGGACAAGUAUGGGGCAGAGCUGGAGUACCUGACAUCCUUCUGUCAGAGAAGUAUGUCACCUACAGAAGAUGAACAAAGGACAGCUAGUUCAAUGCCUGCCAAAAUCUGUCAACCCCUCUGUGAGGUUUGGCAGCGAAUUGACAUCCUGGCCUGACUCUGCCGGUGGUACAACAAGCAACAUUAAGGAAGGUGUAGGAGAUGUUUCUUGUGAGCUCUUUUCCCUUGCUCCAUUUGUUGCUUUGGAAAAAUGUGUAGAGCAGAGACUAUCAGUACGAGAUUUGCAUUAUUACAGCAAUGGGUAGACAUCCUGUUCCCCUGCCCUCCCAUCCUCCUGCCCCAAGAUCCUCCAGUGUAUUUCUGGUGCGCGCAUCACUCCUGCGUCAUAGCUGUCCUCUUCCAUUACUGUUUUUCUACCCUAAUUCAUCUUGUUGCAGUGUCAUCAGGCAGGCCUAGCAGUAAAAUAAAGCAGUGUUUUAUUAACCAAAGCCCAUAAAAUAAAGCAAUGGUUUAUUAGUCAAAGCCCAAGACAAAAGUUUUAGCAUUUAAAGGACUGCUGACUAUAAGCAGAGAAAACCAUAUGGGGCUACAGACUUGGUUUAAAGUGAGGUACUUCCAUGACUGUCUAAGUACAUCACACUCCAAGGCAGGAAUUAACGUGAAGUAGAUGACCUGGUCUCUUAUCACAUCAGGUAAAUUCUUCAAAUUCUGUGGGAAUACUGAUUCCCUCAUAAUAUUUCUGGUUUUAUUUGUAACAACAGACAAGCAGCAAAGUGCUUUUGCCAAGACUUGUUGCUUCUCUCCUACCAUUUGUCCAAGGGUCACUCUCUCCCCAGCACAAGGUGAGGUUUUAAGAAAGAUCAUUGGUAGCUAAACAUAGUCCUGCAUCCACCUGUUCACGGUUUGUCUCCAGUGCAGUUCUAAGGGAAAACAAUGUCAUUUCUACAUACUUUGAGCAAGAUGAGAGGACUGAAUGGCUAGGGAGGCUUCCUUGAGAGACAUGUCUGUAGCCACACGCAGACAGGUAACUCCUCUGAGGAAGAACCAGUCCUUCUCUCCUCAGACUCUCCCCACAACCACAGCAAACAUAUCUCCCUACCCUGUGCUUUUGAUGGAGUACCUACCAUACUCUUUCUUCCCACCUAGAAAGGCUGACUAACUCAGUGAGAUAAAGAUGGAUCAUUUCUCUAUCUCAGGUAGCCAUUAUGGGAAAGGUUUGGACUCAUCUACCCACCAACCACCAUACCCCAUCAGAGCUUACAUUUCCUCCUGCUGCCAGCCUUUAACAUUGCCGCAGUCUGCGGGGUGUCCUCCAGGAGGAGGUCUAUGUGGGUGGAAUGUUUAUAGGAUGUGCGGGGGGAAGAGCAUGCAACAUUUGUCUUUUGGAAGGGGAUGAGUUCCGCGUACUGCCAACAGGGGUGAGAGAUGUUAAGGUCAGUGGUGUGGCCUCCUGUGACUGUCAGUAGUGACAUGCUGCUACCUGGCUAGAAACUUUUCAGGAAAGCAUGAUCAAAACCUGUGGAUGUUCAACAUGAGCCCAAACUUGAAGUACUGUUGUACUUCUGUACUGCUGCAAGUCCUGCUUAACUUAGGGAGAGGAAAGCUGACUUUUAUAAACACAAUUUUAACUUCUCUGUGUCUCUUUAACAGAGAUAGAAGUGUCUAAGGAGGAGGAUGUAAAGCUGUUUGAGAACUGAAGGUCAUUAAAUUACCAGGACUAAAAGGUAACAGUAUACAUCUAAGGCUUUGGGAAUAAGUAGUGUGGAAUCACAAACGUUAUGAAUUGUGAGUUGCAUCCCAAUCCUGGUGAGCGUCAGGGAUAUCACAGAGCACACCUUCAGGUGGAGGAUGACAUUCCAAGUGUGUAAUAAAUGGAGUUGUUGGUUUCUCUGGCGGAACGGACAUCAUCAUAAAUGUUGUAUUUUGGCAAGUUGUGACUAGCUGUUUGUGUUGAGUGGAAGUUGUUACUGUAGUGCCUGUUACUGACUUCUUGCUGAGACACUUUGGAGCAAAAUUAGGGAAAGGAAGGGCCAGCAUAGGGUCUUGGAGAACCAGUUCCCUGCCAAGAGUCUCCAUUUUCUGUGACCUUUUUGGUAUAGUCCUUUGUAAUAAACUGAACGAAAAUACAGAGCUGCUGGGCAAGGAGCUUUUAUCCUGAACUGAUGGAGGCAUCUGCUGUGCCAAACAAGGGACACACUCUGAAGCCACAGAAUAAACAAAUGAUGACUGGAGGCAGCUUGGAGCAGAGCGAAGUUAAGAGGAGACUUGUAAUUAGAAGUUGGUAUUUGAACAAGUGCAUUGUAGGGAUUUGAAGGAAUUAGAGGAGGAAGUGGAAAGUAAAUUGGGAACUGGCUUGAAGCUCUCUGAAAUCAAUGGGAAGAAUUCCCUUGGGCUUCAGAUCAAAACAAGAGUGUAGGGGAUGAAAAGCACCUUAGGGGCUGCAAAUACCAGUGCAGGAAGUAGUUAUGGAGAGGGGAGAAAGGGCACUGAAGGUACAGAGAGAAGUUGGAGAGAUUUCAUGGUAGCAGAAAACCCCACAGAGGUAAUGCAUUUCCCAGAAAUUCUCAUGGGUUUCCUCCUUCUGAACACUUGGGGCUUCUUGUGGCUAACCUGGUGGGGAGUUCUGGGGAAACCACAAUAACCACUGCAGUUAUUAGGAUACUUGAUUGUAUGUAAGAGGGGAUGAAAAUCUGACUAAAAGGUAUAAAUCUACAUGGCAUAGCAGUGAGGGCAGUCUGGAAUGUUAUGUGAAAAGUCAUUGUACUUAGUUACACCAAUUGCAAAAUGUAAUAGAAGUGAACAUGGGAGGAGGCAGGAUCAGUGUAGAAGAAAUUUUAAAGAAGAAAGGUUACAGGAGAUGGGCCUGAGGCUUUCUGAACUGUAAAGGAAAACGUUAUCUAAAAAUAUAGAAAACAACAACAAAUGUGAAGUGAAUAGUGAAACAUGUUCAUUUCCUCUUGUUUUUCCUGUUGAAAAAUAAAAAAGCAAAAAAUACAAAAAAAAAAAAAAAAAAAAAAGGGAUGAUGCACUCCAUGCUGUAAAGUUGAUAUAGUAAAUGUAGAAUUUAUCAAUGGGUGCACCUCUUAUCCCAGCACCUUGCCAACUGCAGCCUGCAGUCACAAGAGGUGGAGGCACAGAGAAAUGCUAUGGGUUUAUUUUUGAAAGGCCAGCAAUUUUGUGGUAGAAUGCAACGUUUGUGUAGUAGCAGCUGAGGAAAAAAGUGGUAAUGCUCACAAGCAGGUAUUGGGAAGUAGCCUGUGCAUAACCAUAGCAGUGCACAAUUAGCUGGCUACUUAACUCAUCCCAUUUGUCACUCCCAGUCACACGCAUCGUUUCUCUCACGCUUUUAGAGAUAACCACUACACUGCUGGCAUGGCGGCCCCAGCGGACCACUCAUCUAAUCUGCUGUGGCAGUUCCUCUUCUAUGUAGGCCAUUGCAGAGCAAAUUUAAUUUUUGGUGUCUACAUCCUCUUCUGCAAAUGGCUUCUUUCUUUGGUCCUGCUUUAAUUUGUAUUAUCGUAUUUUAACCACAUGAGUCUUUCCCUCAUCUUUGGCAUUAUGGUAAGUCCAGUAGCUGUUUUCCUGCAAAUGGCAAGUGUGUAUUCAAGGCUUAGCUUUCAAAUUGCUGUUCUGGCAAAAAAAAAAAAAAAAAAAAGAAAAAGAAAAAAGAAAAAAAAAUUCCUCUCACGCCCUUGACACAAAAACAACAAUGUGAACAAUGGGAGCUGUCUGGAGCCAGCAUGACGUUGGAGAGCACUGCAUGCAAGGAGAUAGAAGAGGGAAAAAAACCCACAUGCAGUGGAGGGAGGAUGUUUGACAGACUAUUUGCAUCAGAGUUUCAGAACCCACACAAUAAAAAUGAAAGUGCAGAACACAGGCCAGCUGCCUGUGAUAAGAUCUCAUUGUUGGAAAGGGGAGAAACGUACCGUCUCUACACUAGCUGGGCAGGGAGCAAAAGUACAGCGUGAAACGAAUGGUGAGAGAAUGCACGUGGCCCCUCUUCCUCAGGCACUGAUGUUUCAGGCGACUGUGAUUGAUUUUUGUAUGUUACGGUAUGGCACAGCCAACCUGGAAGAAUUACAGCAGAUGGUACAGUGUGCUGGCAAAUUGCACAGAGAUGGAAGAGAGCUAAAAUCAAUCAUUUUUUAACAAGUAAAUACAACUUUGUGAAAUUCUCCAGCAGUGGUCAGGCUGUAACUGAUGCGAGGGCUUUAGUGCAGCUGUUUGUGGGUGCUCUUGGCCUCAAACAGCACACAGUGAAGCUGUGAAGGCUCCAUUUUGGCUUAAACAGAGUUCUUGUUUGUUCUGUGCACAGCUCCAGGAUUUUAUUCCCUGCAUCUGUGGCAAAUCAUCUUAUUUACUACCUUCGGUGACCAAUUCAGAUACCUACAGAAAUGGCAGUCUCAAAAAUGCACAGAUGCUGUAGAUAAUGGGCUGGAUGGAUUUUUUUAUCAUAUACUUAAUGUAUAUAUUGAUAAGACUGAACUGCUGGAUUCAUACUGUCUCACAACAUGUUAAACAUUUGUUUAUUCUACUGAAAUUUAUGAAAAAUAACUUAAAACCACCUCUAAGUUACCUUUAAAAUUCCUGCAUGCCUUUCUCAAACAUAAUAUAAGCCCGAGGGGCUGAAAUAUGUUUGCAGUUGUUCUGGUCUGAGUUCCUAGGUGAUUGCCACACCAAAAUAAAUAAGUACGUGUCAUCGUUUUAAUAUUUUGAGUUUAGCUAAGAACACCAACAAUGUGCCUUUGCCAAAAACAUGGGCCUGGUUGCUUAUUCUGUGUCUUUCUUCAUCUCAGACUGAGGGACUCACAUUUAUUAAGACAAUUUGUCUGUAGGAAUCAAUACAUAAUGCUGUUUUCUCAAAUUCCUUGUGUAUCAAAAAGGCUGGUAGAGACAUGUUUUCUUUCCAUUUUCCUCAAUCAGUAAUACGUUUCUGAUCCAGGGUAAAUUCUGAUGCAGGAUAAAGUAAAUACAGGAUCUCUUAAGAGGACAGACGUAUCCUUUACCCUCUGCCUUUGGCCUAAAUGUUCAUACUGGAUUUUUAAUAUUGUUUUAAUUUAAUAUAAAAUACUAAUAACAAAAGCUCCUUUGUUUCACGUUGGUGAGACCUGAGGCCACCAAAGUAAUCCAGAAUUGCCUAGCGUCUGGUGUUAUUGAUCACUGUUGGUAUAGCUUUGUGCUCUGCUGAUGACUUUCUGGGCCUUUUACACUGCUUUUAUGCUCAGCACUCCAAACCAAUGCUGGUGUUAUUGCCAAGGAGAUGUGGAGGUUUUAUUGCUGUGCCUCCCGGCCAUUCCUCUCCACCCUCCUGCGUGCAGGCGCUAGCAUGUAACAGCGCUUCACCUCUAGUGCUCUCACCUGCUCUGGCCUCCAGGGCUCCAUUCUCCUACUACAAAUCCACAGUUUUUAAAAGCUCUGGAGGGAGUCUCUAGGAUGAAGUGCUCAGGUACCAGGACACCAGCUUUCUGUUUCCUCUUUAUGUAAAGUGUAUCUCUUUGUUGCCUUCUCUGUGUUUGCCUUUGGCCAGAAGAAGUGCAUGUGGCGGGGAGACCUAGCCUGAACUGGAGCAACUAGGAGCUUCAUCACGGUGCACUUCUCUGCUUUUCUGCAUUCUUCCAGCAAAUGGCUGCUAGGUAGGCACAGAAACAGGGGGUUCUUCUGCAUCCUUGGCUAUCAUAGUGCAUGCUGAUCUGUAAUGGGACACAAGGCUGUGCCCUGGUUUACCACAGACAGGAGUGGCUGUUGUGGACAGCCGCCUUCAAGAAUAAACAUGCAUAUCAAUGGAUGACUUUGUGUGCUCUGACACAGCUUUAUCAGCUGAACUGUUUUGUACCUCUUAUACCAGUUUAUGAAGACUUUAUCAUAGAAUCAUAGAAUCUUCUGAGUUGGAAGGAACCCAUAUGGAUCAUGGAGUCCAACCCCAUGUUCCACACAGGACUACCCAAAAUUAAAAUCCUCUGUCUGAGAGCAUUUUCCAAAUCCUCUUUGAACUCUGGCAUCUUGGGGCCAUGACCCUUUCCUUUUCCCUGAACAUUUCCCUAACCUGACCCUCCCCUGACACAGCUCCAUGCCAUUCCCUCAGGCCCUCUCACUGCCACAGAGAGCAGAGCUCAGUGCUGUUCCUCUGCUCCCUGUGAGGAGCUGUCGCCGUGAGGCCUCCCCUCAGUUCCUUUUUUCUGGGCUAAGCACACCCAGGGACCUCAGCUGCUCCUCAUGUCUUGCCCUGGAAUCCUUUCACCAUUUUUGUAGCCGUCCUCUGGACACUCUCUAAUAGCAUUAUGUCCUUCCUCUAUUGUGGUACCCAAAGCCACACACACUGUUCUCUCCUGCAUUGCUACCCUAUUAAAAACAAAGGUCCCUUUUUAACAGGUUUUUAUUUCUGGGUGUCAGAGACCCUGACAGAAUUGGCUCUGUGGCUUAGCACCACAAGUUCUGGUGGUUGCUGCCUAGAACUACAGAGAUUGGUGGGUGCAUUUGAUUGGAAUUAUAGCAGGAACUAUACAUGCCGGUUCAGCCCUGUUAGCAAUGCUGCUUAAAAGUGGCUUUCCUGUGCUCAAAAUUAAAUGCAAGACACUUUUGUCUGAGUGGUGGUGUUGGUCCUCUGCUCAUAUUUGGUUUGACUUACUAUUAAAUUUUGUGAUUGAGUUAUUACUAUUGAGCUAUUAGGUGUGCAUAUCCACAAAUAAAUAUGUGUAUUUGUGAGAGCCCACCUAGAUUACUGAAUAAACCUACAAGUCUCUAGCUAGAAGAGAAACAAAGUCAAGUUCCAGAUUGCUACCAUUUCACUGUAAAAAUGUGAGCAAAUUACUUAACCUUUCCCUGCCUUUGUAAUUCUUCCUCCUUAAAAUAGGGAUUGUGCCACCUACUUUUGGAAGGAUAUAUGUAUAUAUUUAUUAUAGGCGUUAGAGGAUAAAAAAAGCAGCUCUUUGGAUUCCCGUGUUCUUAGAAUCUGAAGGAAUCUGAUUAAACAGCAUCUGAUCAAUCUUGAUCAGAUCAUCACUUUUUUUGUCAGCUGUAUCAAUGUUAGAGAGAAAAUGAGCCCUAAUUGACUAUUCUGUGAGCCAUGGGUGGGGAUUGUGGCUCGCAGAUUAGGACAUUUGUUCCCCCUGUUUACUAACAGUUUAACUGAAGUUGAUAUAUCCUGUAAAAGAGCACUACUGAAAUGGUGUUUCCUGGUGUUUUAGGAAGUGAAACCUUCCAUACCCAGUUGAAUCCGUAGAAAGUGGACUCGUUUUGUUGUUUUUUUUAAUUGUAGCUGUGUUUAAUUUUUAUUUUUUUAAAUGUAUUUCUGUGCAGAUUUUUAUUAGCCAUGCAGAGUUCAGUAUGGGGCAAAGCGUCUGCUAUAACGUAGGAUAAUCCUGAAUUAAAAUAGAAGAAACAUGCAUCAUGGACUAUAAAAUUCUAUAAAUUCUCAGUAAAUUCUGUUCAACUUCUUUUCUGCCUCCUAAAGAGAGACUUUUCUGUAAUUCUUUUCCAUACAUACCUGGAUUUAUUUUUCAUUAUAAUUUUUAUUAAAAGUAUUCUGUUUUAAGAGCUACUCAAUCCACAGGGCUUAAACAAAGAAUUAAUGUCUGAAUUGUCAUCAUAAUGUAAUUUUUAGGCUGAAAAUCCUUCUGGUAUGGUAUGCUUGUAGCCUAAAAGCUUUCUGCUAUAUAAGGAAAUGGAUUUUAUUUAACUUUCUCAGCCGUGGUCUAUGUGUACAAGAGAGAAGUAUCCAAAUUCAAACUAAGAAUAGAAACUUUCUAACUGCAUUUAUGAGUUUCUACCAUAACUUUCUAACUAGUAGUCAAUGUAGUCUGUGCUGUUGCUUAACUCUGGUUUCAAAAAUGCUAGAAGCCACAGAUAUGUUUUCUGUGUCAUUUCAAUGUAUCAGGGAUCUUUUUAUUUUGAAAUCCAUGACUGUAGCUAGUUGGAUUAAGGACCACCCAUUUUCUGAAGUAGAAGGCGGGUCUAGUUGCUGAAAACCAAGCUAACAGGUAACGUGGAGUCUUGUUGCAUCUUUGCUUUAGCAGAGGGGAUUGUGCUGGUGUCUUUGCACACACAUACCAAAAUCAGCUCUCGAUCUCCUCAGUUCAAGCACCUAAGCCAAGUGGUGGGAUUCAACCUCCUGCACUAUCUGCCUGGGAAACACUGAGUCAGCAUGUAAAACACCUGUGUAGCCCAGGCCUAAUCUUGCUUGGUAUUGAAGCACAACAGGCUGCCUCACACCCCUGCUUUGGUGUAUUUCUUGUACUUGCAGAGCUUCACAUUGAUUCCUCUUUCUACAUUUAGCAGUCUGAUUUUAAUUUUUACUGUAAAUCUUCCAUGAGUCCCUUGGUCUCAGGAUUUAAGUGCUCUCAAACCCAGCGGUGGGAAGCAGGUACUCAGACACACAAAUCCGUGGUCCAGGUGAACUGGAUGGUUGAGCCUGUGCACAGUUCUCUAGAGCAGAUAUUGAUAUUACACAUAAAGAAGCUUAAAAAUAAUGAUUUAAAAAAAAGUUUUCAACAGGUUUUCCUUGUCCUUACCCCCCAAAUGUCUGGUCUUGCCUGUCUGCAGACCACUCUCCAGGGAGGUUUGGUGAGAAACUUGUAGGGGAAAUAAUGAGUAGAAUCAAAAUGGCCACCCAGUGUAGCUGGGCUGUGUGGGCUGUUGUUUGUUUCCUCUGAGAACACUUCUGUGCUGCAGUUGGCUGCAGAUCCUUCCUGGUCUUCGUCAGCUCCCCCCAUGGCAGGUGCACAACUACUACAGGCCAGCCUUGGCUGUGGGCAGGCAGGAGGAGGCACCUCAUCCAGGCCUGCAAAGCCUCUUCUGUGUUGCUGCUAAGGGAUAGCCCAGAAACCCCUCAUGUCAUUUCUUUUCUCGUGCUUUUAAACUACCAUAGGAAUCUAUACAUGUAUCAGCUGGAAAUAUCUCUAGAAAAGCCCUUUUCUCUUUAUUGAAUUUGGCUCAUCAUGGUGACGCUAUAGUUGGACACCUUCCCAACACAUAGCAUGUCUUCCUUCCACACGCAGGAAGUGCAAAAGCUUCCUAUGUUGACCCAACAUGCAGUGGAUUCAUAGCACCUCAAGUUGCAGGGUGAUACCUGUAAAGAGAAGAGUUUAAGCGGAGCCACAGGCAAAACUUGGCAUUGUGGGCAGGUUAUGUGUAAUAGCAUUGGAAGUGGGUUCCUGCCGUUUUGUUCUUGAGUAGCUCAGCUCCUCCACAACAGUAUUACUGGAUCUCAGAGACAAGCAACAUGCUCCACAAGUUUAACCUGCUCUGAUGCACAACAAGUACAGGCGGAAGUUUGCUCUGCCAGUGGCUCUUAGCACCAUGUAUGUGUGUAUAUACGUACAUACACGUCAGGGAGGUGCAAUACAGCAGUGACAAGUAGUUUAACACCCAGGGCAAAGGACACUGCUAA